Molecule: ribosomal RNA, 556 nt
Filed under: Alternaria alternata
Lineage: Eukaryota; Fungi; Ascomycota; Dothideomycetes; Pleosporales; Pleosporaceae
Description: eukaryotic LSU rRNA
Rfam family: 5.8S ribosomal RNA (bases 205-358)
Source: RNAcentral
CGGGGUUCACUGCGUCCAUGACCUGCGGAGGGAUCAUUACACAAAUAUGAAGGCGGGCUGGAACCUCUCGGGGUUACAGCCUUGCUGAAUUAUUCACCCUUGUCUUUUGCGUACUUCUUGUUUCCUUGGUGGGUUCGCCCACCACUAGGACAAACAUAAACCUUUUGUAAUUGCAAUCAGCGUCAGUAACAAAUUAAUAAUUACAACUUUCAACAACGGAUCUCUUGGUUCUGGCAUCGAUGAAGAACGCAGCGAAAUGCGAUAAGUAGUGUGAAUUGCAGAAUUCAGUGAAUCAUCGAAUCUUUGAACGCACAUUGCGCCCUUUGGUAUUCCAAAGGGCAUGCCUGUUCGAGCGUCAUUUGUACCCUCAAGCUUUGCUUGGUGUUGGGCGUCUUGUCUCUAGCUUUGCUGGAGACUCGCCUUAAAGUAAUUGGCAGCCGGCCUACUGGUUUCGGAGCGCAGCACAAGUCGCACUCUCUAUCAGCAAAGGUCUAGCAUCCAUUAAGCCUUUUUUUCAACUUUUGACCUCGGAUCAGGUAGGGAUACCCGCUGAACU